UUUGCUUUAUAGCCCAGGAGGAUGAGAACCUCCGGGGGUAAGAGGUUCGACUCGAGCGUAGCGAGAGAACGUUGCGUCAGCAACGGCCCGCAG
RNAcentral lists this small RNA (93 nucleotides) under Citrobacter freundii. Its description in RNAcentral is "partial RtT sRNA". It matches the Rfam family "RtT RNA", at positions 1 to 89 of the family's 130-position model. Rfam says of the family: This family represents a bacterial cis-regulatory element known as RtT RNA. The exact function of RtT is unknown although it is thought that it may be involved in changing the cellular response in relation to amino acid starvation. The record is from RNAcentral. Lineage: Bacteria; Pseudomonadati; Pseudomonadota; Gammaproteobacteria; Enterobacterales; Enterobacteriaceae.